GACGAACGCUGGCGGCGUGCUUAACACAUGCAAGUCGAACGGAAAGGCCCUGCUUUUGUGGGGUGCUCGAGUGGCGAACGGGUGAGUAACACGUGAGUAACCUGCCCUUGACUUUGGGAUAACUUCAGGAAACUGGGGCUAAUACCGGAUAGGAUCUCCUGCUGCAUGGUGGGGGUUGGAAAGUUUCGGCGGUUGGGGAUGGACUCGCGGCUUAUCAGCUUGUUGGUGGGGUAGUGGCUUACCAAGGCUUUGACGGGUAGCCGGCCUGAGAGGGUGACCGGGCACAAUGGGACUGAGAUACGGACCAGACUCGUACGGGAGGCAGCAGUGGGGAAUAUUGCACAAUGGGCGGAAGCCUGAUGCAGCAACGCCGCGUGCGGGAUGACGGCCUUCGGGUUGUAAACCGCUUUCGCCUGUGACGAAGCGUGAGUGACGGUAAUGGGUAAAGAAGCACCGGCUAACUACGUG
Molecule: ribosomal RNA, 468 nt
Filed under: uncultured bacterium
Lineage: Bacteria
Description: partial 16S ribosomal RNA
Rfam family: Bacterial small subunit ribosomal RNA
Source: RNAcentral